UACGAAGGAUCCAAGCGUUAUCCGGAUUUAUUGGGUUUAAAGGGUGCGUAGGCGGCUUAUUAAGUCAGUGGUGAAAGACUUCAGCUUAACUGAAGAACUGCCAUUGAUACUGAUGAGCUUGAGUACAGUUGAGGUGGGCGGAAUGUGUCAUGUAGCGGUGAAAUGCUUAGAUAUGACACAGAACACCGAUUGCGAAGGCAGCUCGCUAAACUGUAACUGACGCUGAGGCACGAAAGCGUGGGGAGCGAACAGG
RNAcentral lists this ribosomal RNA (253 nucleotides) under uncultured bacterium. RNAcentral's name for it is "partial 16S ribosomal RNA". It matches the Rfam family "Bacterial small subunit ribosomal RNA", at positions 524 to 776 of the family's 1533-position model. The record is from RNAcentral.